RNAcentral lists this ribosomal RNA (253 nucleotides) under uncultured bacterium. RNAcentral describes it as "partial 16S ribosomal RNA". It matches the Rfam family "Bacterial small subunit ribosomal RNA", at positions 524 to 776 of the family's 1533-position model. The record is from RNAcentral.
UACGUAGGGGGCAAGCGUUAUCCGGAUUUACUGGGUGUAAAGGGAGCGUAGGUGGCAAGGCAAGUCAGAAGUGAAACCCUCGGGCUCAACCUGAGGCAUGCUUUUGAAACUGUCAAGCUGGAGUGCUGGAGAGGUAAGCGGAAUUCCUAGUGUAGCGGUGAAAUGCGUAGAUAUUAGGAGGAACACCAGUGGCGAAGGCGGCUUACUGGACUGUAACUGACGUUGAGGCUCGAAAGCGUGGGGAGCAAACAGG